This 379-nucleotide long non-coding RNA is filed under the name Chinchilla lanigera (long-tailed chinchilla). Its description in RNAcentral is "lncRNA (ENSCLAG00000024729.1)". Lineage: Eukaryota; Metazoa; Chordata; Mammalia; Rodentia; Chinchillidae. The record is from RNAcentral.
CACCAGGUAGUGCGGAGUUUAUCACCAGUGCUGCCGAUUGCAUAGUCUAAUUUAUACAUGUUCAGCUUUGGUAUUGUUCAGCAUGUUUAUCUUGAUCAUCAUCAUUUCAUAGUGCUUUUUAAAAAAUAUUGUAUGGAAUCACAUAAUGAUAAUGGAUUCCUAAAAGUAUUCAAAGCCCAAGUAACACAUAAAGUGAAUAUUUUAGGAUUCAACUGAAAUGACUCAAAGCUUUAUCUCAGAACCAAUGGGAUUUUGAGAAACUGGAAUAAGUAAUCAAAGAAAAUUAGAGUCUCACUUCAUAAGUGUCAAGUGAUUCAGCUAUUUUUUGUUACAAAAAAUGUAAGUAGGAGAUUCUCAAUCACUCAAGUUCUUCGUAACU